GGCCAAGUUGGAGGUAACCGUUUCGUUUUUUUCUUCGCUUUACUUUUGGUUACUGGGUUACUGAUGUUUCGAUCAUGAAAGGAUUUCUGUGCAGUGAAUUUAAGGGUUAGAGAUUUGAUUAUGUGAAAUUCUUUGCAUGGCACCGUACAAAGAGUGUUUCUUUUGAGUUUCAAUUCAAUCUCAAUAGACUGACUUUUUUCCUGGCAGUCGGAUAGCUUGAAUAGAUUGGAAAAUUAUGUGACUUCGCAAUCGUUACUACCAACUUGCGAAUUCAAAGUUCUGUCACAUUGGUGUAUAAACUCGUAUCUGAUUUGGAUAUCUAAAAUUGUUUAGUUUCAACUCGUGAUUUAAGAAAUAAAGCCCUUUUGAUUAAUUUUAGUAAUAGUCUAUGUUUCAGUUUGUAUUCA
RNAcentral lists this unclassified non-coding RNA (407 nucleotides) under Hevea brasiliensis (rubber tree). Lineage: Eukaryota; Viridiplantae; Streptophyta; Magnoliopsida; Malpighiales; Euphorbiaceae. The record is from RNAcentral.